RNAcentral lists this ribosomal RNA (378 nucleotides) under uncultured eukaryote. RNAcentral's name for it is "SSU rRNA". It matches the Rfam family "Eukaryotic small subunit ribosomal RNA", at positions 592 to 970 of the family's 1831-position model. The record is from RNAcentral.
CAAUAGCGUAUAUUAAAGUUGUUGCGGUUAAAAGCUCGUAGUUGGAUUUCUGCUGAGGACGACCGGUCCGCCCUCUGGGUGAGUAUCUGGCUUGGCCUUGGCAUCUUCUUGGAGAACGUAGCUGCACUUGACUGUGUGGAUGCGGUAUCCAGGACUUUUACUUUUGAGGAAAUUAGAGUGUUUCAAGCAGGCGUACGCCUUGAAUACAUUAGCAUGGAAUAAUGAGAUAGGACCUUGGUUCUAUUUUGUUGGUUUCGUAGAGCUGAGGUAAUGAUUAAAUAGGGGAUAGUUGGGGGCAUUCGUAUUUAAUUGUCAGAGGUGAAAUUCUUGGAUUUAUUAAAGACGGACUACUGCGAAAGCAUUUGCCAAGGAUGUUUU